AUACGGAGGGUGCAAGCGUUAUUCGGAAUCACUGGGCGUAAAGGACGCGUAGGCGGGUUGGCAAGUCAGAUGUGAAAUCCUACAGCUUAACUGUAGAACUGCAUUUGAAACUGCUAACCUAGAGUAUGGGAGAGGGAGAUGGAAUUAGUGGUGUAGGGGUAAAAUCCGUAGAUAUCACUAGGAAUACCGAAAGCGAAGGCGAUCUCCUGGAACAUAACUGACGCUAAGGCGUGAAAGCGUGGGGAGCAAACAGGAUUAGAAACCCUUGUAGUCC
This 274-nucleotide ribosomal RNA is filed under the name uncultured bacterium. RNAcentral describes it as "partial 16S ribosomal RNA". It matches the Rfam family "Bacterial small subunit ribosomal RNA", at positions 523 to 796 of the family's 1533-position model. The record is from RNAcentral.